RNAcentral lists this long non-coding RNA (8243 nucleotides) under Malus domestica (apple). Its description in RNAcentral is "long non-coding RNA (MDOM_LNC008576)". The record is from RNAcentral. Lineage: Eukaryota; Viridiplantae; Streptophyta; Magnoliopsida; Rosales; Rosaceae.
AUGUGAUUGGGAGAAUGCGAUCUAAAGAAGUUAGAUUCAUGAGACCAUUCUUUCGUAGACACAUCCUAAACAUUCAUGAUCAUAGGAUUGCCAAUUGGGCAUUGACAGUCCGUUAAGAUCAGUACGUGCUGUGUAUUCUCUCAGGGAGAGUGACUAGUCUCGAGUCAUUGGUAUGUGUGACAUCAAGACAAGUACGUAGGUGCUCAAUAGAGAAUGAGUUCACUGAACACGAUCAACGAAAACUUCUCAUAUUCAUGUCACAUGAGAACUCAUGGUUGGGAUAAUGCAAAGUAGUCCUUUGACCUGAGGCAUCACGUUUGUCUUGUGGUUAAGUCUUUGAUCAUUGAUUAUGUCAAAGUCACCCCAUCCGCGGGUGUCCACGGCAUCGUUGGGGUUAAGCCACUUAGUAUGGAGGCAAGUGAAUGCGCAACAAGGGAUCUCUAACCUUCAAACCGUUUGGGGGAAAAUACUCUAUGAUAUGAUUUAGAAUCUCUGGCCAGAGUAUGAAUGAGAUUUAGGAAAGUCGUUCCAAAUCACAUUCAAGGUAAUCAUAUAAGCACACGAAUCACAUUGGAUAAUAGACAUGAAUAAACUAUCAAACCAAACAAUGUGGUCAAGAGUAUUGUAUUAGAGAAAGACCGUAUUGCAUUUGUAAUCCUAAACUGAAUAGGUUCUCUACCUCUUCUGAUUAGCUUGGGUAACCAUGAUAUGCUGCUAGGUGUCACUCUUGGUUUGUGGAAGCCCUAAACGUGUAUAAUCACUAAAGGGAGAAUUGAAAGUAAGUUUCAAUUCACAAUCGAUUUGAAAGAGUUCUAAUCGCCCACUGCCUCGCUAAAAGGAACCUAAUGAUCGUACACCGUGUAAGGUGGAGAUUGAAGAAACAAUGGAGAUGAGUAAGAAUAAUUAAAUGGUUUAAUUAUUUAUGGCAAGGAUUAAUUAAUAUGUUAAUUAAUCAAACGAAUAAGUUCGUUAAAGACCUCGGGAUAGUUUUGGACCUUAAGGCCCAAUGGGCUUCGAACGUCAAGCCCAUUGACUUAAGUUGUAAAACAAUUUAAUGAAUAAAGAUUCACAAAGGCCCAAAAGCCCAUAUCCCUUAUAUGGCCGGCCAUGUGUGUUGAUUAGGGUUUUUGGUUCUUUAGGUCAUUUAAAGAAGUGACUAUAUAAAGAACUUUAUAGCCUAAAAUUCAUUAAGGGUUCUUUUGGAGAAAAUUAGAGAGAACAUGUCUCUCCUUUUCUCUCUAGGAGGCCGGCCCCCUUGGAGGGUGUAUCUAGCAAUCCCACUACUCCAAGGUCACUCAUUUCUUUAUAAUCUUACCUUGGUGUGGAUACUUAGAGGUUCUCAAUUUUGGGAACUUGGAGAAACCUAUUCUUCCAUCCAAAUCCAUAGAUUUUAGAUGCAAGGAAUGAAGGCCCUCUCUUUGGGUGAUUAGCCUUUGCUUAUGCAAAGAGGAAUCUACAAAGGUAUAUAUUUCUCAACUCACUUUGAUUUGAGUUGAGUCUUGGUUCACCAAUCUACUAGGCUUUGAAUUUCAUGGGUAAUGUUUUGUUUUUGAAUGCAUGCAAGCAUGAUUCCGCCUUUUAAUUGUUAAAUGCAUGCUAUAGAUGUUAUUCAAAUGAACAUGUUUUCACAAAAUCAUUCUUCAAGUGGUAUCAGAGCCUAGGUCUAGUAGUUGGUGAAUCCUUUUGGGUUUUGAUGUUCAUAGUUUUGAUUUAAAAGUUGUAAUAUGUUACAAGCUUUAUUCUUGUUUCUUUGAAUGUAAAUUUUGUUAGAAAAUUUGCCAUCUCAAAUGUUGUAGAUGUAGUUCUUAUGAGCAUGAAUAUUGGAGCUAAAAUUUGGUGCCAUGCUUUUGGGAAUUUUCGGCCAAAUCCAAAGGGUGGAUUUUUGGGUUCUUGUUUGACUUGUUAAAAGUGUUUUUAAGUGACUUUUGGAACCCCUAUGUACCCUAGUUUGGUUAUAUGUUAUUUCCCUAAAGUUUGAAUGGUUUUGAGAUGUUUUUGGGUGAACAAUGUUCAUGGAAAUUUUUGAGUUUUUCAUGAAUGUUCUUCAUUGUUCUUGACAUUUUUGCCAAGAACAAAAAGUUUUGUGUUUUGAUUCAAAGUUUUGAUUUAUUUCAUAAAGUUUAUGUUUUAUGUUUUUCAAAUGUUUAAAUGUUUUAGAUAUUUGUUUAAAUGGUGAUAGAAAUAAUGGUGGGUGUGAAAGGAUUAAUUCCCUUUCACACACACCACUUGUGCACUUGCAUGCUUUAUGUCAAAACUCACAAAUCAACACACACAUCACUCUAAUCCUUCUCCAAAAACGGCCCUCCCUCAAGUGGGAGUACUUUUGGGGCUUUUAUGCAAUUACAUAAAGUUUUGAUACUUUUGUGUAUUUGCACUUUGGCCCAAAAGUUUACGUUUUUACGUUUAGGUCCAAAAACACUAAAGGACAAAUUGUUUUGCUCCUUUAAUGAAGCUUUUGCAUUGUUUAAAUUUUGGGUUCUAGUUGUAAUUACAUGAAGUAGUGGACUUUUGUGUUUUUACAAAGUGACGCCAAAAGUUUAUGUUUUUGCAAUAUAGCCCAAAGGUUGUGGUAAUUGCAUAUUGGCCCAAAUUAAGUAGAGAACAAAAUUGUUUUGUCUCUUUAAAUGAGAAUUGGAUUUUCAUUUCAUUUAGCUCCAUUUAAAUCAAUCUUAUGGAUACAAAAACCAAAUGAAAAUGUUGCAUUCAAUUUAAUUAGUUAAAGUGUUAAUUAAUUAAAGGGUGAUUAUGAACCUAAGCCUACAAUAAUUGAGCUAUGUGAAAGGCCGUUUCAAAUUUGUUUGAACCAUGGGAAUGUGUAGAUUAGAUUUUGGUUGUAAUUUGAUUUGAUCAAAUGUUGUAAAAGAGCAUAAGCUCUUCUUUACUUUAAAGUAAUUUGAUUUAUGCAAAUGUUGUAAUGAGCAUAAGCUCACCUUUACUUUGAAGUACUUCUUUCUUGCUUUAUUUGAUAUGCAUGAAAAUGAAGUAGUUGGGUCCAACGCCCCUAAGACAACACGCCUUAAUGUGAUUAAACGCGUAACUAAAAUCAAUUACCAUCCCUAGACCAAGAUUCAACACUAGGCUCGUGUUGAAUCUAAACAAAGGUUCAUAAUCAUCCUAAGGCCCUAAGGCAACUAUAUAGUCCAUCAAUGAAUGCAAACCUUAUGUUAGUAGUAUCAUAUACUCUUGCUUUAAAAACCGUUUUAUAAGCAUAGUGGGAGUAUUAUAUACAACUAAAACAAUCAAAUGGACCAAUAGUUGUAAUAGGACCAAAAUUGUUUUAAUAAAGAUUAAAAUGAAUAUUUAUAUGUGAUGAGACCUAAAACCCUCAACCAAACCAUUAUUAAGUUGACAAGCGUGAGAGUGCUUUGAACACUCUUUCGUGGCCUUCCACCGUGGUAGGCUCCAAUCGUUUAUGACUUGUACACCGCCUUCACCCUAUCAUGGGGGAGUGCAAAGUGCAUGCUUAUACUCAGGAGGACUCUAUAUACAUACUUGAUGAGGUGAGUGUAGGCAAUGAGGAUGGCCAACAUCAUAUCAUUGUGAGGCUAUUCUUGAACCCCUUCACAAACUAAGCAUGGUGGGAAUGACUUAACUAAGUGCAAUGGAGCCAACAUCAUAUCAUUGUGAGGUGACAUUCUCUAGAGGCCAAAUAAGAUGGGUACUUGCAAGUGAUGCAAAUGAGUAAGCGUACUCUCUCAUUAUUAUUAAUGCUAGCCAACAUCAUAUCAUUGUGAGGUGGGCUUGGUAGUAGUGAGUCUCCCAUACCCUACUAAGAGUUUCAUCCAAAACUCUCGAAUUUAAUGAGGGAUAUGGAAUUUGCCAAAAAUAGUGGGUGGUGUUAUUUGAUUUAAAGACCCGGAUCAAAUGGCUUAAAAUCAAUCAAUUUAUAUUCGUUAUGUAUUUGUUUACCAAUAUAUUUGCAAACGCUAUCCAACACUUGACAAAUAAAAGCCGAAAGCUUUAGUUUCCGUACUUGGUACUACAAAACCAUAGAUUGUCUUUAAUGGCUUGUAAAUAUACCUAAGUAGUCUCAUCCUCACAAUCUUCCUAUUGAUAAUGUAUCAUUAGAAGAAUAUGUUAGAAAAGGUCUAUCAUAAAGAGGACAACACUUUUAAUGUCAUAAUUCUUCAAUUACAAAUUUUUGUAUGAAGAAAUAAGAGUUGCUUUGAACAACCCUUAAUCAAUGCAAACAUUAGUGCUUGUUUCUUUGUUACAUGAACAAGGAACUUUAGAAGAAAGCACAAAGGCAUGGACACUUAAUGUGCCAUGAUUCUUCACUUACAAUUUGUUGUAUGAAGAAAUGAGAGUUGCCUUGUACAACUCUUGAAAGUUUGUAAUUAUGUUUAGAACAUAAUGGUUGGUUGACAAAAAUAGUCCAUCAACAUGGACUUAUGAUGAUUUUGAAUCAUUGAGUGUUGAAGUGUUAAACCACUUAACGAGACGGAAACUAAGCUAGGACUUCACCUGUAUGUCCCUAUCUUAAUGGUUCACUAAGUUUAUUGUAAACUAUGUAGUGAACAAUAAACACAUGCUCUCCAAAAUGUUUAAUGUGUAUAACACAAUUGAAAAAGGUUUCAAGAGAGGUAGUGGGAGUUUAGGGACCAUGACUAUUGUAGUCAAAAGAGAAGUCAAAUAAAGAAGCGAAAUUAACUCCAAGGGAACAAACUUUCUUUAUGAAAGGAUGGACAUUGGAAGGGGUAUUUGCAAGAAAUGUCUUGCAAGUGUCAAGAACACAACUUUCGAAGGUGUUGUAAAUUGUUCUUGAAUAGUUCAAAACAGUUGGUUCUUCUACUUGAAUGCUUGAUUCCGUAUUAGUAACUAUGUUUUACAAUCGUUGUAAAAGUGUGACUAAUAAGAAGUAGAAGAUAUAUGAGAGAAGAAAAGGUACUUCACAAUCGGAACGUGAAUAAAAUAUAGAUCUCUGCGAAGGCAGAUAGUACUUACUUCCUCAUAUGAACUACCAAAGAAAUUGGAAAAACCAAAGAUUGUCUUUACAUUCCAAUUUUAAGGAAUUUAAUUCCGUCACUAUAGUAGAGAUGGAUGAAUGUUUUGUUUGACAAAACAUUGUUCUUUAUUAAUCAAUGAUUGGAUAAUAGUAAUCUAAUUGAUUGUCUCUAUAGUAGAGAUGAUAUGGUAGUGUUAACUGUUUAGAAUAUAAUGAUGCUUAAAACCCAAAAGGUUGCAAGGUAGUGACUAAUCCCAACUAAGUUGUGAGACCUCUAAAAACAUCGUUAUGAGUUGGUGAAAGAUGGAUGCUUUGGAUCGUUAGAUCCGGAUCCAAUACCUUCUUGUUAAAAUUGUAUAGAGGCGAAAUGUUCGAAUCUUUAUUCUUUUGGAAAGAAGAAAGAAUCACAAAGUUGUUGAGGUUAAUUCACUUAGAUGUUAGUGGCACUUGUCCACAACAUAAUACUACUCAUGUUAUAUGACAUUCACCGAAGAUCACUCUCGGUUGGACUAUAGUUUAUUUUGAAUAAACACAAGUCCGAAUACUUUGCAAAAGUUUUCAAAGAAUUCAAGAAAUGUAAGUUGAUGAGUAAGACGUCUAAAGUAUUUACCUCCUUAGAUUUGAUCCAAGGAAAAGAAACACUUUAGAUGAGUCUCCUUGAAAGAUACCAAGGAAAGAAGCAUCAUAAGAUAAUAAAUUUCUCCAUAAGGAGAAGAACGAACUAGAAUAAGAUUUAGUUCAUUAGAUGUUAUCUAUUACCCAUAUAUAGGAUAUAUACUUCUAAAACAAUAUGAUUGUCAAUUAGAAGAUCUUCCAAUUUUUACAUGACUCCAUAAGAUGUAGUUGGAAAGAAAGACAAAUCUUAAGCAUGUUAAGAUUUGGGGUGUGUGCUAAUAAGCAAUAUUUGUUUGAUAACAAUCUUGUGGGAUAUCCUUAAAUUAACUUUUGGAUAUCGCUUCUAUAAACCAACUAACAAAUGUUGUUUUGUUGGGUAGUUCAUUGUAAUCCUACAAUGUGAUUUGCCUGAAAGCAAAUGAACGAGAGAUAGAACUCAAAGAAUGGGUUCUUUGAGAGACAAGAAAGUAAUCAACAAAUAUAAACAACCUAGUUCCUAUACCAAAAGCUCCAAGGUAGUCGAUAAGGAUUUAUAAACCGUCUCAGUUGAAUGGUUUGAACUUUAUGACUAUGUCAUAGAGUUGCACCUCUUAAUUCGAAAGAAAUAAAGAAUGAAAAUCCUUAUGACUACAUUGAGUGUAUAUAUGAUAUAUACUCAAGGAAAUGGUAAAGUACCAUUUGACCCGAAAUAAUGAAACCUUCAUAAGCUAAUUGGUAGCUUAAGGUGACUACAAUCAAAGAGAAUGGUUGACUUUGAAGAAACCAUCUUUGAGAUAGUCUUGGUUUCAAUUAAUUCGAAGAUUGCUAGCUACAACUAAAUGGUGAUUCAAUGUUUGGACAUAAUAUGAGUUUCCGAAACCAUUGUUAAGAUAGUCUUGAUAAUAUAUGUCUAAAACUAUCAAUCACAAGACAUAUAAGUUGUAGAGAUCCAUCCAUCAUGAAUCUUAGCAAGCUAAUGGGAGCUAUAAGCAUCUUAUGAGAAAAGGAUCAAAUCGUUUGAUUUCUCAUAAAGAUGUAAAUGAAUCUUUUGUUUACUAGGUUUACAAAAGAUUAGUGGGAGUUAAUCAUGUUUCUAAAAUUUAAAUAUAUGAUAUAUUAAUUUUGAAAAGAAAAGAAUACUUCUUCGUUAAAGUUAUGACUUUAAUACAUUAUAUGAAGAUAGAAUGUAUAAGGGAGUUAAUCAUAUUCCUAAAAUUUAAAUAUAUAUGAUAUAUUAAUUUUGGAGAUGAAAAGAAUACUUCUUCGUUAAAGUUAUGACUUUAAAACAUUAUAUAAAGAUAGAAUGUAUAUGGGAGAUAUAGUCUAUAUACAUGGGAUGGAAAUCUAUAAUGAUAUAUUUCAUGAUAUAAUUAGAUUAUAUCAAUCCCUAAUAAUAGACAAUAGAUGCUAGGAAGUUUCUCAUAUGAUGAUAAACUUCAAUUAGAAGGACGACUCUAGUGAGACUAGCAAGUUGCCCUUCUCAAAGGGAACGUACCCUUUGACUCCCAAAAAAAUAAUGCGUAAAUAGAAUCCUUUAUGCAUAAGCAGAAAGGUGAUUUAUGUAUUUCAUAUAGUAUGAAAAACAUGGAUAUGAGUUGUACCUAGAACGGUACAAGACGAUAUCAGUGCAAGCCCAGGAUCAGAACCAUGGCAACUGUCAAGUGAGUCCUUAAGUAUUUAAGAAAUACUAAAGGAUAGAUUCCUCAAAGAAUGAGGAAGAAAUAGAGUAACGUAAUGGAAGCGUAAAUGUAUUAGAUUAUGAAUCUAAUCCAUCAUUGGAUGUUUCUUCAUUAUGAAUGAAGAGAUAAACGGAUAUAUCUUUAUUAUGACUAAAGAGAUAUUUGGAUGGAAACAUUAAAGUAAUGACUUUAGUGUGUUCCAUUAUGAAUGCAAAAUAUAUUGCCAUAUAGAAGCUUCCAACAAUGUUGUUUGGAUGGGAAAGUUCAUUUAUGAACUCUCUAUUCGGUUCCAACCAGAAAGUGUAUCUAGUGUACUGACACUAUGACACUAAUGGGGCGAUAGCUCAAGCCAGGGAAUCAAGGUCUCAUCAAGGUCCAAACUCAAAUGAGAGACUGAACCACAUGAUUGAGAAUCAUGUAUAAUGGUGACGUCGUUAUUCUCAAGGUUGCUUCUAUGGAUAACAUAUAGAUAUCCAUUGUCUAGGCCUACUAUUCAGCCAUUUAUGAAAUGACUACAAAAGAGGUAUCAUCACUGAUGACCAAGCUGAUUGGCUCUAGUGCAAGUGGGAGAUUGUUGGAAAUGUGCCCUAAAACCAAUCAUAUGAUGAUACUUUACGGACAUUUCACAUGUUAAACUAAUCUAGUUUAAUAUCAAGGGCAAAAAUUAUUGUUUGAGCCGUCUCAUAAAUGUUAUAUGCUUAAACGAUAAGUCCAAGGAAUAUGUGAUUGAGAGAAUGCGAUCUAAAGAAGUUAGAUUCAUGAGACCAUUCUUUCGUAGACACAUCCUAAACAUUCCUGAUCAUAGGAUUGCCAAUUGGGCAUUGACAGUCCGUUAAGAUCAAUACGUGCUGUGUAUUCUCUCAGGGAGAGUGACUAGUCUCGAGUCAUUAGUGUGUGUGACAUCAAGACAAGUACGUAGGUGCUCAAUAGAGAAUGAGUUCACUGAACACGAUCAACGAAGACUUCUCAUAUUCAUGUCACAUGAGAACUCAUGGUUGGGAUAAUGCAAAGUAGUCCUUUGACCU